GAUCAUUUAAGUUAUUUUUUAGUUACAUUUUGGUCCCAUAAGUUAUUAACGUUACAAUUUUCUCCCUUAGGUUAGUAUUUGUGAGCCAUAUAAAUCCUCACGGUUAGUCUUUUGCCAAAAUGAUAAAAAGGCACGUGUGAACGGUGACGUGACAACUUACAAUGUGUAUCUACCUUAGACAUUGGCCUAACGGUUUUGACGGUGGAGAUUUAUUAGCUAACGAAAGAUAACUUAAAGGGAUCUAAUUGUACCGUUAUG
RNAcentral lists this long non-coding RNA (258 nucleotides) under Medicago truncatula (barrel medic). Its description in RNAcentral is "long non-coding RNA (MTRU_LNC000446)". The record is from RNAcentral. Lineage: Eukaryota; Viridiplantae; Streptophyta; Magnoliopsida; Fabales; Fabaceae.